AGGACUAACGCUGGCGGCGUGCCUAACACAUGCAAGUCGAACGAGGUAGCAAUACCUAGUGGCAGACGGGUGAGUAACGCGUAGAUAAUGUGCCCUCUUGCGGGGGAUACCGUUUCGAAAGGAACGUUAAUACCGCAUAACACGAAUUUCAGGCAUCUGGAGUUCGUCAAACUUCCGGGGCGGGAGGAGCAGUCUGCGUUCUAUCAGCUAGUUGGUGGGGUAAUGGCCUACCAAGGCGACGACGGAUAACUGGUCUGAGAGGAUGAUCAGUCACACUGGAACUGAGACACGGUCCAGACUCCUACGGGAGGCAGCAGUGAGGAAUAUUGCGCAAUGGGCGAAAGCCUGACGCAGCGACGCCGCGUGGAGGAUGAAGGCCUUCGGGUUGUAAACUCCUGUCAGUGGGGAAGAGAAUGGACGGUACCCACUGAGGAAGCUUCGGCUAACUACGUGCCAGCAGCCGC
Molecule: ribosomal RNA, 464 nt
Filed under: uncultured bacterium
Lineage: Bacteria
Description: SSU rRNA
Rfam family: Bacterial small subunit ribosomal RNA
Source: RNAcentral